AUGGGGACAUAUGGGGACAUCAUGGGGACAUCAGGGCAUCAUGGGACACAAGGGGACAUAUGGGGACAUGGGGACAUGGGGACAUUAUGGGGACAUGGGGACAUGAUAGGAUACAAGGGGACAUAUGGGAACACGUGGGGACAUGGGGACAUGAGGGCAUCAUGGGGACAUGGGGACAUGUGGGGACAUAAUGGGACACAAGGGGACAUAAGGGGACAUGUGGGGACAUGGGGACAUCAUGGGACACGUGGGGGCACAUGGGAACAUAUGGGGACAUAUGGGGACAAAAGGGGACACAAGGGGACAAAAGGGGACACAAGGGGACAUAUGGGGACAUCAGGGGACAAACGGGGACACAUGCAGACAUGUGGGGACAUGUGGGAUCACAUGGGGACAUCUGCAGGUUUGGGGACAUGUGGGGACAUGGGGACACAUGGGGACAUAAGGGGACAUAAGGGGACAUAUGGGGGCAUCAGGGGACAAAAGGGGACACAUGCAGACAUGUGGGGACACGUGGGAUCACAUGGGGACAUCUGCAGAUUUGGGGACACGUGGGGACAUGGGGACACAUGGGGACAUGGGUGGGGUGGAAGCAUGGGGACACAGCGAUGGGGUGGGACACAUGGGGACGUGUGGGGAUGUGGGGACACGUGGGGACAUGGGGACAUGGGGACACAUGGGGACAUAUGGGAACACGUGGGGUCAUGGGGACAUCUGCAGACUUGGGGACAUCUGGGGACAUCAGGGGACACGUGUGGACAUAUGGGGACACGUGGGGCCAUAUGGGGACAUAUGGGGCCAUAUGGGGACAUGGGGACUCAUGGGGACACACGGGGACACACGGGGACACAGAGAUAUAUGGGAACUUACAGGAUCACAUGGGGACACGUGGAGAUGUGGGGACAUAUGGGGACAUCAGGGGACUUAAGGGGACACAUGGGGUCAUGGGGACAUAUGGGAUAUCUGGGGACAUGGGGGGACAUAUGGAAACAUAUGGGGACACAAAGGGACAUAGGGACGUAUGGGGACACAUGGGGACACAAGGGGGCAUAUGGGAACUCAUGGGGACAUGUGGGGUCAUGGGGACAUGGGGACAUCAGGGGACAUGGGGACAUGAGGAUGUGGGGACAUGUGGGGAUAUAA
This 1143-nucleotide long non-coding RNA is filed under the name Chrysolophus pictus (golden pheasant). Its description in RNAcentral is "lncRNA (ENSCPIG00010012285.1)". The record is from RNAcentral. Lineage: Eukaryota; Metazoa; Chordata; Aves; Galliformes; Phasianidae.